CGGCGGACGGGUGAGUAACACGUGGAUAACCUACCUAUAAGACUGGGAUAACUUCGGGAAACCGGAGCUAAUACCGGAUAAUAUAUUGAACCGCAUGGUUCAAUAGUGAAAGACGGUUUUGCUGUCACUUAUAGAUGGAUCCGCGCCGCAUUAGCUAGUUGGUAAGGUAACGGCUUACCAAGGCAACGAUGCGUAGCCGACCUGAGAGGGUGAUCGGCCACACUGGGACUGAGAUACGGCCCAG
RNAcentral lists this ribosomal RNA (244 nucleotides) under uncultured Staphylococcus sp. RNAcentral's name for it is "partial 16S ribosomal RNA". It matches the Rfam family "Bacterial small subunit ribosomal RNA", at positions 96 to 334 of the family's 1533-position model. The record is from RNAcentral. Lineage: Bacteria; Bacillati; Bacillota; Bacilli; Caryophanales; Staphylococcaceae.